Molecule: non-coding RNA, 100 nt
Organism: Desulfosporosinus meridiei DSM 13257
Lineage: Bacteria; Bacillati; Bacillota; Clostridia; Eubacteriales; Desulfitobacteriaceae
Source: Rfam
UAGGGCAAUGAGACAUCAUUAAGUGCCGCAGGGGUCAUAUCUGCUGACUUUGAAGGCGGCAUGAGGCCAUCUGAUUCACAUGAGGUUUCUCAGCUGAAUG